RNAcentral lists this ribosomal RNA (253 nucleotides) under uncultured bacterium. RNAcentral's name for it is "partial 16S ribosomal RNA". It matches the Rfam family "Bacterial small subunit ribosomal RNA", at positions 524 to 776 of the family's 1533-position model. The record is from RNAcentral.
UACGUAGGGUGCGAGCGUUAAUCGGAAUUACUGGGCGUAAAGCGUGCGCAGGCGGCUUCGCAAGUCAGACGUGAAAUCCCCGGGCUUAACCUGGGAAUGGCGUUUGAAACUACGGAGCUGGAGUGUGGCAGAGGGAGGUAGAAUUCCACGUGUAGCGGUGAAAUGCGUAGAUAUCCGAAGGAACAUCAGUGGCGAAAGCGGCUUCCUGGACCAGAACUGACGAUCAGGCACGAAAGCGUGGGGAGCAAACAGG